RNAcentral lists this ribosomal RNA (492 nucleotides) under uncultured bacterium. Its description in RNAcentral is "partial 16S ribosomal RNA". It matches the Rfam family "Bacterial small subunit ribosomal RNA", at positions 31 to 507 of the family's 1533-position model. The record is from RNAcentral.
AGAGAACGCUGGCGGUAGGCCUAACACAUGCAAGUCGAACGGCAGCACCGUAAGCGUUUGCUCUUACGGGUGGCGAGACGCGUACGGGUGAGGAAUACAUCCGAAUCUACUUUUUCGUGGGGGAUCACGUAGGUGAACUUACGCUCAUAUCGCAUACGACCUACGGGUGAAAGGCGUGGAUCUUCGCACCUUGCGCGAUUGAAUGCGCCGAUGCCGGAUUAGCUAGUUGGCGGGGUAAAGGCCCACCAAGGCGACGAUCCGUAGCUGGUCUGAGAGGCUGAUCGGCCACACUAGAACUGAGACACGGUCCAGUCUCCUACGGGAGGCCGCAGUCGGGAACAUUGGACAGUGGGCGCAAGCCUGAUCCAGCCAUACCGCGUCAGUGGUGAAGGCCUUCGGUUUGGAAAGCCCUUUUGUGGGGAAAAAAGAGCAGCAGGUUAAUACCCCGCUGUUCUGACGGUACCCAGAAAAGAAGCACCGGCUAACUUCGUG